CGGACGGGUGAGUAACGCGUGAGAAUCUGCCUUUAGGUCCGGGACAACCACUGGAAACGGUGGCUAAUACCGGAUGUGCCGCAAUGUGAAAGGGGAAACCCGCCUGAAGAUGAGCUCGCGUCUGAUUAGCUAGUUGGUGAGGUAAAGGCUCACCAAGGCGACGAUCAGUAGCUGGUCUGAGAGGAUGACCAGCCACACUGGGACUGAGACACGGCCCAGACUCCUACGGGAGGCAGCAGUGGGGAAUUUUCCGCAAUGGGCGAAAGCCUGACGGAGCAAGACCGCGUGAGGGAAGAAGGCUCUUGGGUCGUAAACCUCUUUUGUCAGGGAAGAACACAAUGACGGUACCUGACGAAUCAGCCUCGGCUAACUCCGUGCCAGCAGCCGCGGUAAUACGGAGGAGGCAAGCGUUAUCCGGAAUUAUUGGGCGUAAAGCGUCCGUAGGUGGCUAGUCAAGUCUGCGGUCAAAGACUGGGGCUUAACCCUGGAAAGGCCGUGGAAACUGACGAGCUAGAGUGCAGUAGGGGUAGAGGGAAUUCCCGGUGUAGCGGUGAAAUGCGUAGAGCUCGGGAAGAACAUCGGUGGCGAAAGCGCUCUACUGGACUGCAACUGACACUCAGGGACGAAAGCUAGGGGAGCGAAUGGGAUUAGAUACCCCAGUAGUC
RNAcentral lists this ribosomal RNA (665 nucleotides) under uncultured bacterium. RNAcentral's name for it is "bacterial SSU rRNA". It matches the Rfam family "Bacterial small subunit ribosomal RNA", at positions 99 to 795 of the family's 1533-position model. The record is from RNAcentral.